RNAcentral lists this ribosomal RNA (492 nucleotides) under uncultured bacterium. RNAcentral describes it as "partial 16S ribosomal RNA". It matches the Rfam family "Bacterial small subunit ribosomal RNA", at positions 29 to 507 of the family's 1533-position model. The record is from RNAcentral.
AGUGAACGCUGGCGGUAGGCCUAACACAUGCAAGUCGAACGGCAGCACAGUAAGAGCUUGCUCUUACGGGUGGCGAGUGGCGGACGGGUGAGGAAUACAUCGGAAUCUACUUUUUCGUGGGGGAUAACGUAGGGAAACUUACGCUAAUACCGCAUACGACCUACGGGUGAAAGCAGGGGAUCUUCGGACCUUGCGCGAUUGAAUGAGCCGAUGUCGGAUUAGCUAGUUGGCGGGGUAAAGGCCCACCAAGGCGACGAUCCGUAGCUGGUCUGAGAGGAUGAUCCGCCACACUGGAACUGAGACACGGUCCAGACUCCUAUGGGAGGCAGCAGUGGGGAAUAUUGGACAAUGGGCGCAAGCCUGAUCCAGCCAUACCGCGUGGGUGAAGAAGGCCUUCGGGUUGUAAAGCCCUUUUGUUGGGAAAGAAAAGCAGCAGGUUAAUACCCCGCUGUUCUGACGGUACCCAAAGAAUAAGCACCAGCUAACUUCGUG